CCUUGAUGUGUAGGAUAGGUGGGAGGCUUUGAAGUGUGGACGCCAGUCUGCAUGGAGCCGGCCUUGAAAUACCACCCUUUAAUGUUUGAUGUUCUAACGUUGGCCCCUGAUCGGGGUUGCGGACAGUGUCUGGUGGGUAGUUUGACUGGGGCGGUCUCCUCCUAAAGAGUAACGGAGGAGCACGAAGGUUGGCUAAUCCUGGUCGGACAUCAGGAGGUUAGUGCAAUGGCAUAAGCCAGCUUGACUGCGAGCGUGACGGCGCGAGCAGGUGCGAAAGCAGGUCAUAGUGAUCCGGUGGUUCUGAAUGGAAGGGCCAUCGCUCAACGGAUAAAAGGUACUCCGGGGAUAACAGGCUGAUACCGCCCAAGAGUUCAUAUCGACGGCGGUGUUUGGCACCUCGAUGUCGGCUCAUCACAUCCUGGGGCUGAAGUAGGUCCCAAGGGUAUGGCUGUUCGCCAUUUAAAGUGGUACGCGAGCUGGGUUUAGAACGUCGUGAGACAGUUCGGUCCCUAUCUGCCGUGGGCGCUGGAGAACUGAGGGGGGCUGCUCCUAGUACGAGAGGACCGGAGUGGACGCAUCACUGGUGUUCGGGUUGUCAUGCCAAUGGCACUGCCCGGUAGCUAAAUGCGGAAGAGAUAAGUGCUGAAAGCAUCUAAGCACGAAACUUGCCCCGAGAUGAGUUCUCCCUGACUCCUUGAGAGUCCUGAAGGAACGUUGAAGACGACGACGUUGAUAGGCCGGGUGUGUAAGCGCAGCGAUGCGUUGAGCUAACCGGUACUAAUGAACCGUGAGGCUUAACCUUACAA
Molecule: ribosomal RNA, 806 nt
Filed under: Escherichia coli
Lineage: Bacteria; Pseudomonadati; Pseudomonadota; Gammaproteobacteria; Enterobacterales; Enterobacteriaceae
Description: partial 23S ribosomal RNA
Rfam family: Bacterial large subunit ribosomal RNA
Source: RNAcentral